UCAUGAAUGCAAAAUGAGAUGGAAGG
This 26-nucleotide non-coding RNA is filed under the name Mus musculus (house mouse). The record is from RNAcentral. Lineage: Eukaryota; Metazoa; Chordata; Mammalia; Rodentia; Muridae.